AUGCCGGCGCGGAGGCUGCUCUCCGCCACCGUCAGGGCCAUGGCGCCGGCCAGCCCCAACAAAGGAGGUGUAUGUGCAGGACAAGGUGUACAAGGACGUGAUCGACCCCGCCGUCCGCGAGUGGACCUCAAGACUGAUGUGUACCUUCCUGAGCUUCCAGACGAACAUGCAAGCAGCUCCGCUGCCAAGCCAUCAGCCCAACCAGAUGGAGCUGGCCCUCUUCCAUGA
Molecule: ribosomal RNA, 228 nt
Filed under: Triticum aestivum (bread wheat)
Lineage: Eukaryota; Viridiplantae; Streptophyta; Magnoliopsida; Poales; Poaceae
Description: partial small subunit ribosomal RNA
Source: RNAcentral